RNAcentral lists this unclassified non-coding RNA (346 nucleotides) under Hevea brasiliensis (rubber tree). The record is from RNAcentral. Lineage: Eukaryota; Viridiplantae; Streptophyta; Magnoliopsida; Malpighiales; Euphorbiaceae.
AUCAAUACCCAUUAUCAAUUUCUCAAAUUUCGAUGACCCAAAAGUUGCAGAAUCGAUCUGUGAUGCAGCUGAGAAAUGGGGUUUUUUUCAAAUAGUGAAUCAUGGAAUCCCAAUUGAAGUUCUUGAAAAUGUAAUUGAAGCUGGGCAUAAGUUUUUUGGAUUGUCUGUUGAUGAAAGAAGGAAGUAUUUGAAAGAGAAUUCACCUACUCAUACUGUGGAAUUGAAGACAAGUUUUAGCCCUUUUGCUGAAAAGGUUUUGGAGUGGAAAGAUUAUCUUUUUCAUAUCUAUGACUGUGAUGAUGAUGAUGAGAGCUCUAAACUGUGGCCUGCUGUUUCCAAAGAUCAG